Molecule: long non-coding RNA, 768 nt
Organism: Lycium barbarum (goji berry)
Lineage: Eukaryota; Viridiplantae; Streptophyta; Magnoliopsida; Solanales; Solanaceae
Exons: 2
Source: RefSeq, a predicted model, not a curated record
CAAAAAAGAAAGGAAAGGAAAAUCCCUAGUUUCAUAGAAUAACAAAAAGAAAAGCUGAAAAUGAAGUCUCUCUCAGAAGAUAAAAAAGUAAAAUAAAAUCAAUUCUACAGUAAAGUGUAAAAGAUAUGUAACCCCUUUUGCUUUUUCCAAAGAUUAUUUCCCCUUCAUUUUCUUAUCAAAUUUUCUUUAAAUAUAUUCCUUUUUCUCUUCAUAUAUCCUUCUUCUAGCUACUAGUACUGUCUCUUUUCUUAGUUUCCAAACACACAAUAAGUUCUGUAUUAAUGGAUCCAUGCACAAGUUUCUUGCCCCUAUUAAUGGAAAUUUGAAAGGUUGGCAAAAUAUCAAACACCUUGUGUGCAAUGAAGGUUCUUGAAGAUUUUGGCUAUGUAGAUUUCAAGAAAAUGUUAAUUAUGCAAAUGCAGAUAGUUGGUUUUGUUAACAGCUAUUUUGGGUGUUCAAAAGUUGAAAUUUUUCUACUUGAAAUGGAUUUUUCCAAAUUUUCGUGAUUUUCCGGCAGUGGUUGACGGCGGUGAACGGUGGUUCACGGCGGUGGACGGCGGUGGUGGUGAUAUUGGCGGGGACGGCUCAAUCUUUUGUCUCACAAAUGGUACUUUUGUAUAUCAUUUUGAUUUUUAUUUUCACUUUAUUUUUCUACAAGGCAUUUUGGUUUUUGAUGUUAUUAUUAUUGUAGAAAAUUUGGAAUUAAUUGUAUUAUUACUUAUUAUCUUUGGUGAAUUUUUCGGAAGAAAAAUAUUCAAUUAAAUAGGA